This 405-nucleotide ribosomal RNA is filed under the name uncultured bacterium. RNAcentral describes it as "bacterial SSU rRNA". It matches the Rfam family "Bacterial small subunit ribosomal RNA", at positions 32 to 417 of the family's 1533-position model. The record is from RNAcentral.
AAUCAACGCUGGCGGCGUGCCUCAGACAUGCAAGUCGAACGCGAAAGUUUCCUUCGGGGAACAAGUAGAGUGGCGCACGGGUGAGUAACACGUAGGUAAUCUACCUUUGGAUGGGGAAUAACAACCGGAAACGGUUGCUAAUACCGCAUAAUGCAGCGGCACCUAAUGGUGACAGUUGUUAAAGCGGGGGAUCGAAAGACCUCGCGUCUGAAGAGGAGCCUGCGGCGGAUUAGCAGUUGGUAAGGUAAUGGCUUACCAAGGCGACGAUCCGUAACCGGCCUGAGAGGGCGGUCGGUCACACUGACACGGACAUACGGGUCAGACUCCUACGGGAGGCAGCAGUCGGGAAUUUUGGACAAUGGGGGCAACCCUGAUCCAGCCAUGCCGCGUGUGUGAAGAAGGCCU